Long non-coding RNA from Gallus gallus (chicken), 1831 nucleotides. RefSeq lists it as uncharacterized. Lineage: Eukaryota; Metazoa; Chordata; Aves; Galliformes; Phasianidae. The record is from RefSeq and is a predicted model, not a curated record. The transcript is spliced from 2 exons.
GGGCAGCGCGCCCGGGGUUGGGGCGGCGCUCGGAGCUGCCCCGUCCGCCCGCUGCGCUCCGGGCUGUCGCUACGGCUCUGCGGCUCGGAGUGUCGCGGAAGGCGCACGGCACAGCAAGUUUUAUCAGCUGUUGUUUCUGCACGUCCUGAGCAAUAACGGCGCUGUUGGGCCCCUCCCUACACUGGGGUGACGGAGCUGUGCGGGACUGCUAUGGGGAGCGGCUGGGGGAGCUGGGAUGGGACAGUGUGGAGGAGAGGGGCUGAGGGCAGAGCUGUGAUGAGCUGUGGGUCGGACUCUGCUCCCGGGAACAGCGGCAGGACGAGGGGGUGGCCCCACGGUGCGACAGGGGAGGGCCGGGUUUUUAACGUGAGAACAGCAUUUUCUCCCUUGAAUGUAAUAAUCGGUACUGUUCUUUGCGUUCUGCCUAUUUAAAUAAGUGAACCGGGUUUUGUUUACACAGUGCAGCUAAGAAAAUGGGAUUGGUGUAUGAAAUCUCAAGUUCUAUAAAGUCACUUUUGGCUGUACUAUUACUUCGCCGAUGCUUGUGAAGAACACACAGUUUGGAAACUACUUACUUCUGUGAUUAUUUUGGAUCGAGUCAAGGCAAAGUACCGAUACAGACACAUCCAGUUUCCAAACAGAAUCAUUCAGAAGCUUUCAAGGAUCACCUGCAGAUUCCCUCCCACGGCAACAGAAGACCAAAGCCCCACAUCUGGGACACGGCUGUUCAAACUGCACACAUGGUCCCAAAUGGCAAUGGUGACUGAUUUGGAAAUGUCAGCUGCAUUAGAAAAACCCCUUCUGACUUGCAAAGUGCAGAGCUGAGUGGUACCUGCUUGAACAGAAUUAAUAUUACGUAGUCCUCUCCCUCCACAAAUAAUUUCCUGAAUAAGAAAAUGUUCAGUCUGCUCCAACGUGUCACCUCAUUCACAGUGAGAAGUGUUUUCUUGUGUUCAUGUUUACUCUUAGUAAAUAGAUUCAGCAAUCACAAACCUUUCACACCUCCGGCCCCUUUCUUCUCACACCUUGCUGAGUGCUGCUACAGAAACACUGACUGUGCUUACAGCUGUGUCCUUUCUUUCAUUUGUCCUUGGUCCAAAGCUAACUGGUACCUUUAGGCUUUCAACAGAUGCCCUAAUCUCACUGUUUUCCUAGACAGACAUAUCAGUAGUUCCACAUCUGCUGUAUUUGAUUCCAUGUUAAACUCCUCCUUUUUGUUUUAUUUUGUGUGUACAGCUCUUAAUGACAUUGAAUCAAGAAAUCUAGUAACCUGUCAUAGCCCUUUCCCACUGCUGUUACACCAAGAGUUGCCACAUCUUAAGGCAAAUUUCUGUCUUAUUUGAAUCAUAGAAUCAUAGAAUGGCCUGGCUUGAAAAGGACCACAAUUACGAUCUUGUUCCAACCCCCUGCUAUGUGCAGGGUCGCCAACCAGCAGACCAGGCUGCCCAGAGCCACAUCCAGCCUCGCCUUGAAUGCCUCUAGGGAUGGGGCAUCCACAACCUGAACUUAUCUGAGAAUAUUUGCUCUUAGUUUCAUAGUGUUCACACUACAAAAUCUCUUAAUCUCUCCAAUCUAUACAUUCUGUGAUACUUUCAGGUUUGUUUUUUUUUUUUUUUUUUUUUUUUAGUCUUUUUAAUCUUGUGUCAUGCAUCCCAAAGUCCAGAUAUAACGUCAGGCCAUAUCUUUGCUUAUCAUUAAAUAUUUUAUUCAGACUCUGUUAUGACAUCCAGUCUUACCACUUUCAGUGUCCUGUGCCUGGCUCCUAUUUUAAAACUAUUUAGUCUUAUUGUACAGUGUACAUACACCAAUAAAGGCUAUUUCUAUACAGAAA